AAAAGCUGUCACUCUCCGCUACUACUGCACCUAUUUUUUCUUCUUUUCCCUCUUCUGUCUUCCUCUCACCUCCUCUCUUUUUUGGUUCAAGAUCUGCCUUAGCAUCCCACGCUUCCUCCGUUCAACUUUCGCGUCCAUGGGUUACCAAGGGAGAGAGCUCGGGAGUGUGAGUUCUCAUGGUGGCUGCCUCAGAGCGACGGGUUCAUGCUUCAAGUGUCUUCAGAUUUACUCGCAUUGCUCUGUGUGUCUCUCCUUACCAUUCUUCGCUUCCUUCGUUUAGAUCUAGAUGGUGAGGCCGUCGCACCCUCCAUUCUUCAUGUUCGUCGGCCAUCUUUUAGUGAGUAGAUGGAGCUUCAGGUGAAUGAAAAGCAGCAAAAACAUCAAAGCUCAGAUGAGGUGGAUUUAUUCACGAACCUUGGUGGUUUUCUUUCUUUUUUUCUUUUCUUUUCUUUUAUUCAUCUCUUUCGUUGCAAUUUUGACUCUUUUUCUUUGAGAAAUGGUUGAAUCAUCAGGUUGGAGAAGUUGUUUGAAGCGGAGCAUGAUGUUCUCAAGGCUCUUAGGGGAGGUGGGAUUCAGAUCAUGGUUGGAAUCCCCAAUGAGAUGUUGUCUCUCUUAGGAUCUUCCCCUUCUACUAUCGUCUUUUAUGUGAAGGUGGUACGGAUAUCAGAAUCAUCCAGAGCUCUACAUCUGCCAAGACCAAUGGUGAGAUCUUGUUGGCAAUUAAUUGUCUCAUUGGGCCUCAGAUAUGAAGAGAAAGAUGAACCUUUAUCCCCUAGAGCAGGAGACUUGGGAGAAAUCAGGUUCCCGUGAAAGACAACAUAGCAACUUUUGCUUCUAUCUCAUCAAGGGGAUUUAUAGUCCAAACUCCAAAGUACCAAGGGCGAGAUGUUAUUGUCUGAACUUUAGACCCCAAUUACGAAGUCUGAAUCACUUAUUGCAGUUCAAUUCUAUGUGAGGGCUUCUCAGCAUGGUCUGUGCUUUGGCACAACAUAAACCGUACUUUCCUUUUUGGGUCUUGAUAUAACCAUUGCAUUUUAAUGUAUUUUACAGGUUUUCAUGACAAUGGAUGCCAUGCUUGGGUUUUAGUUUUCAUUGCUUCUUUUCAAAAAGAGUAGUUUCUCUGUAUUCUUGGAUGUGAAUAGUUAGGCAAGUGGUCAACUGGUCAUACUACUGAAAGAAGUUUUUAUGAUUUAGAGUCUCUUUUUCUUUAAUUUAUAAUUCAAUAAUUCCUGUAAGGUCUGACAUUCCUCGACCUUCUUUUUUAAGUGUUGAAGAAAACUCAUAUAUGCUCCUCAUUUAUAAUGUAGGUCAAGAGGGAGAUCAAAAUAUUGCAAAAUCUUUGUGGAGGGCCAAAUAUUGUGUGGUUGCUUGAUAUUGUUAGAGACAAGCAAUCAAAGGCUCCAAGGCUAACUUUUGAUUAUGUCAAUAACAAUGAUUUCUCUCUUGGAUUCUGCCAUGAGCUUGCUCAAUUUUCCUAUAAGGAUGAACGGUAUUUUUUCUCGAGUUCAUGGUUGUUGAUUAUUGCAUCUGAUUAUUAUUCCUUCAGUGUGGAAAUUAUUUGUAUAAUCACCAUCUAUAUCUGUCAUGAUGGUGCCUAUAGCUGUUUUUUGUGCUUGGAGUAUAUGCAGGACUGAACUUGCUCUCUCUUUUGAUAUAUUUCCAUGAACUGUGAUUUUUUUUUUCCAA
Prosopis cineraria is the source of this 1686-nucleotide RNA transcript. RefSeq lists it as uncharacterized. The transcript has 3 exons. NCBI's taxonomy places the organism in Eukaryota, Viridiplantae, Streptophyta, Magnoliopsida, Fabales, Fabaceae. The record is from RefSeq and is a predicted model, not a curated record.